Molecule: ribosomal RNA, 687 nt
Filed under: bacterium TN100B
Lineage: Bacteria
Description: bacterial SSU rRNA
Rfam family: Bacterial small subunit ribosomal RNA
Source: RNAcentral
CACGUUUUCCGCGCCGUAGCUAACGCAUUAAGUGCCCCGCCUGGNGAGUACGGCCGCAAGGCUAAAACUCAAAGGAAUUGACGGGGGCCCGCACAAGCGGCGGAGCAUGCGGAUUAAUUCGAUGCAACGCGAAGAACCUUACCAAGGCUUGACAUGAACCGGAAAGACCUGGAAACAGGUGCCCCGCUUGCGGUCGGUUUACAGGUGGUGCAUGGUUGUCGUCAGCUCGUGUCGUGAGAUGUUGGGUUAAGUCCCGCAACGAGCGCAACCCUCGUUCUAUGUUGCCAGCACGUGAUGGUGGGGACUCAUAGGAGACUGCCGGGGUCAACUCGGAGGAAGGUGGGGACGACGUCAAAUCAUCAUGCCCCUUAUGUCUUGGGCUUCACGCAUGCUACAAUGGCCGGUACAAAGGGUUGCGAUACUGUGAGGUGGAGCUAAUCCCAAAAAGCCGGUCUCAGUUCGGAUUGGGGUCUGCAACUCGACCCCAUGAAGUCGGAGUCGCUAGUAAUCGCAGAUCAGCAACGCUGCGGUGAAUACGUUCCCGGGCCUUGUACACACCGCCCGUCAAGUCACGAAAGUUGGUAACACCCGAAGCCGGUGGCCUAACCCCUUGUGGGAGGGAGCUGUCGAAGGUGGGACUGGCGAUUGGGACUAAGUCGUAACAAGGUAGCCGUACCGGAAGGUGCG